CUCAAGAAGUUUCUACUCAUGCUAAGUGGUUUCAACUAUUUACACUGGCAAAAACAGGUCAUGCAGAGGAAUGGGUUCAAAUACGAAAACAUGUAGCAAUUGAAUCGUUGUUGUACUAGUGCAGUAAAAGAGAGCAGGAGCGAGAGAGUGGGUUUAUAUUUGUAUGCUCAAGGGGGGUGUAUUGCCUGACAGUUCUGAAAAUAGUACUUCUCUUCAUUAAUGUCAACAGUCACAUCGUCGGAACCAUCGUUUACCGAGAAGGAACAACACCUAAAAACAAGAGAAUAACACAUUCAAUGCAAUGUAGCAAACAUGAUGUAUGAUAUGGCAUGUUAAAGCAUUGAAUUGACCUAUUGCAAUAGAUAAUCAUAUUAAGCGAAGUGGAAUUCAAAUAUAAAUUAAAUUCCAACUCCGACUAAUAUUUAUCAAAUUGUCCUAACCAUCACUUUCCUUACUUAGUGAUGUUAGCUUGUUCAAACAUGCAUGAGCAUGGCAUAAACAGGUUCCUUGCAUUUUUGUGAUCAUUUUCAUAUAUAAUUUAAUUUCAUUAGAGUUACAGUUUAUUUUCUAUGAAUUUUAGAAAUUUUAAGCAUUUUUCAAAAUAAUUAAAUCAUUUAUUGCGCCAGCAUGUUGUGAGGGUGAGGUCAGCACAUCAACUGAGUUGUCCACGGUUGAACCUGACCAGUGGAGCCCACUGGUCAAUGGCCGAGGGCUAAAUAAAAAUUAAAAUUUAAUUAAAUGAAAAGUUAACAGGGAUUGGCCCCACAUAUAAGUGACUCAUUUAGUUAACCGGAGUUAAUUAUCUUAAUGAAAUCACCAGCCUAAUUGAGUCAGGGACUGGCCCCACCUGUCACUGACCCAGAGAGGUCAACCUCUGCUCAGCGAGGCCAAAUCACCGGCGGCUCAACACCAACGAGGCCCGAGACGGAGGAGGGGCCCGGAAUCACCCUCCGGCGACCAAAACAACGGCGGAGAGGUUCUAUGCGAAGCGCGCGCUCGUGCACAUCCAACACAGCAAGCGUCAAGGGUUGCGAUCCACUGCAGCGACGACGGCGACAGCGUCCGUGGCGGCCGGAGCACCGCCUCGAGCAGGUGAUGGCUGCAGGGCAUGUAAAGGCUCGACGAUGGGCUCUACGGGACCGUGGGAGCUCUCUGAGCACGAUGUCGUGCUCAGACACAAGCCUUGGCUAAUGUGGUUGCAGCGUCGCCAUGGCCGGCGGCGUGGAUCUCUCGGCUCCGGUGGCUAUGUCAGCUAGGGUACUCAAACGAGCAGGCAAAAUUAGGGGAAAGGAUGAGUGGCUCACGGAGGGGCGAAUGGAGCCGAUUGCAUGGUCGGGGGAGGUCUGGAGCGGUCAAAUCGAUGCCGGCGGUCCUCGGCUACCGGCGACGAGGAUGGACUCGAUUGCAUCGCCUUGGGGCGUGGGAGCCUGAACCCAACGGCUUGACACUCCUCUUCGGGGCUAUGGACCUCUCGGACUUGCUUGGGGGAACGCCAAGUGCUCGGGUCCACGACGAACGGCGACGAUGCACUCGGUUCCAAGGUGGAAAACGAGAGAGAGAAGGGGAAAGGAAGCAGAGAGAGAGAAGAUUGACCUAGAGCCUCGUCCACAUCUUCUAGGCCGUGGGAUAAGGGUGGAGGAGGCGCCUCCAGCGCGAAGCAGGAGGUGGCACAGCCGGCGCCGUGUCGUCUCUCUCCCUCUGCCUACUGGCAGAGAUUGAAGACAGAGGCGACGUGGGUUGGGCCUGCUC
This 1749-nucleotide long non-coding RNA is filed under the name Hordeum vulgare. Its description in RNAcentral is "long non-coding RNA (HVUL_LNC020837)". The record is from RNAcentral. Lineage: Eukaryota; Viridiplantae; Streptophyta; Magnoliopsida; Poales; Poaceae.